GAACUCCUGAACCUGCAUCUUAAUGGAUGCUAGUCAGAUUCAUUUCUGUUGAGCCACGGCGGGAACUCCUAGUGUCUUGUUUAGUGUUUUUUAAUAUGUUUUUAGAUGAAUGAGUUCCUGUUACACUACAUUGCAAGGUAAGAUCAUUAUGGUAACUCAGCUUAUAACUCAGUGGUCAGACAGACAGUACAGGGACAGCCCUGCGUUUCUGGGGCCAGCAGGCUGGAGGAGCCAGGCGAAGGGCACGUGAGCUAAUACACACACAGUACAAGGCGCCAGGAAACCACGAAAGUGCAAAACUUGAGCUUGUAAUAGAGACAGUCAGGGAAGGUCUUUCUUUUUAAAAAAUAUUUUUAAAAAUUUGGCCACAACUACGGCAUUUGGAAGUUCCCAGGCCAGGGGCUGAACCCACACCGCAGCAGGAACCCAAAUCACAGCGGUGACAACGCCCAGUCAUUAAACCACUCAGCCACCAGGGAGCUGCAGGGAGGGUCUUCCUGAGACGAAGGUCAGGGGCGGUCUUUCUGAGCAGGUCACACCCAAACUGAGAUGGGAAGUCAGUGCAGGAGCCAGCCAAGCCUCCAGUGGGUGAAGAAGCAUUUUGGCAGAAGGCAUAAAAUACAACGGUUCAGAGGGGGAAGGGGCCUGAAGGGGCCCUGCGUGGCAUGGAGUGGACGAGGUCAAAUGUAAAAUUUGCUGCCACGGCCCUUUUUGCUGCCUGGUGAGGGUGGGACUUCAUGGGGAAGAUUUUAUAGGAAAUAAAGAAACUGAGUUUUCUUGGCACGUUGUAGUCGUGUGUAUAAAUGCGCAGCCUGGCUGUAUGAUAAUUGGUGGCUGUUAUUACGAGAAGCACGUGUGAGACCUGUCAAGCCUUCCUUAGCAUUCGAUACAGCUGAGCAUAGAUCAGGUGCAUCCUUUUAGCUCCAGGCCUGUAUCUUGAUUCUCUCCUUUUGGCAGGAUGGAAGCCCAGAGGGACCACAGCAUUUCAGGGCGCCAGGCACUGGCCAGAGGAGGCGUUGCCAGCAAUGCAAUGAAAACAGUAGGGCUGCCGGUGCCGCUUUCCCAGACAAUGGCUCUCAGCUCUGCCUGUAGGAAGAGCCAGUGCUCUCACUGGAGGCUUCUGAGCAAGGAGGUGGGACUGACUUGGAGGCGUAGUGACCAGGCCUCAGCGCCUUUCUGCAGGACCAGGUGUGACCCUUGCACAGACCCCAGAGGAAUCGGCCUACCCUAGGACUGCUCUGUCGUCUGCUUCUGGGUAAGAGCACGACUCUGAAAGGGUUGGGGUGUCGGGAGAGAGGGUAUCAGCUGGUUCAUCUUUCAUAAGGAGGUGCUUCCUGCCUCCAGGUGGGGCGUGUGGAAUCACGGCCACAUAGAAACCCUUGGCUGUAAAGGGGCAAAAAGACUAAAGCUGGGACAGUUUCUAGCCCAGGCCCCCUGUUUCCUGGACGCUGGCCUAUACGGGACUCUUCAUCGUCCUCUGGAUUGAGAGGUACCCCAGAAAGAGGUCAAGUUCUGGCUCCUGUCUUGGCUCAGCACCAAGGAAGCUGUGCAGCCCCAGGCAGAUCCCUGUGCAUCUCUGGGCUUCCAUCUUCCUCCUUAGUGGAAAGAGGAGGCCGCACUAGAUUAGGGUUCUGGAAUAUUAG
Long non-coding RNA from Sus scrofa (pig), 1643 nucleotides. RefSeq lists it as uncharacterized. The record is from RefSeq and is a predicted model, not a curated record. Lineage: Eukaryota; Metazoa; Chordata; Mammalia; Artiodactyla; Suidae.